AUUGAACGCUGGCGGCAUGCUUUACACAUGCAAGUCGAACGGUAACAGGCCUUCGGGUGCUGACGAGUGGCGAACGGGUGCGUAAUGCAUCGGAACGUGCCCAGAGGUGGGGGAUAACGCAGCGCAAGCUGUGCUAAUACCGCAUGUGAUCUGAGGAUGAAAGCGGGGGACCAGGCAGCAAUGUUUGGCCUCGCGCCUUUGGAGCGGCCGAUGUCAGAUUAGGUAGUUGGUGGGGUAAAGGCCUACCAAGCCGACGAUCUGUAGCUGGUCUGAGAGGACGAACAGCCACACUGGGACUGAGACACGGCCCAGACUCCUACGGGAGGCAGCAGUGGGGAAUUUUGGACAAUGGGCGAAAGCCUGAUCCAGCAAUGCCGCGUGCGGGAAGAAGGCCUUCGGGUUGUAAACCGCUUUUGUACGGAACGAAAAGGCUCUGGCUAAUACCUGGGGCUGAUGACGGUACCGUAAGAAUAAGCACCGGCUAACUACGUG
RNAcentral lists this ribosomal RNA (492 nucleotides) under uncultured bacterium. RNAcentral describes it as "partial 16S ribosomal RNA". It matches the Rfam family "Bacterial small subunit ribosomal RNA", at positions 30 to 507 of the family's 1533-position model. The record is from RNAcentral.